CCUACGGGAGGCAGCAGUGAGGAAUAUUGGUCAAUGGACGAGAGUCUGAACCAGCCAAGUAGCGUGAAGGAUGACUGCCCUAUGGGUUGUAAACUUCUUUUAUAUGGGAAUAAAAUGUUCCACGUGUGGGAUUUUGUAUGUACCAUAUGAAUAAGGAUCGGCUAACUCCGUGCCAGCAGCCGCGGUAAUACGGAGGAUCCGAGCGUUAUCCGGAUUUAUUGGGUUUAAAGGGAGCGUAGGUGGAUUGUUAAGUCAGUUGUGAAAGUUUGCGGCUCAACCGUAAAAUUGCAGUUGAAACUGGCAGUCUUGAGUACAGUAGAGGUGGGCGGAAUUCGUGGUGGAGCGGUGAAAUGCUUAGAUAUCACGAAGAAAUCCGAUUGCGAAGGCAGUUCACUGGACUGCAACUGACACUGAGGCUCGAAAGUGUGGGUAUCAAACAGGAUUAGAUACCCGGGUAGUC
Molecule: ribosomal RNA, 460 nt
Filed under: uncultured bacterium
Lineage: Bacteria
Description: partial 16S ribosomal RNA
Rfam family: Bacterial small subunit ribosomal RNA
Source: RNAcentral